GACGAACUGUUCUAACGUUAUUCGGAAUCACUGGGCUUAAAGGGCGCGUAGGCUGUUUGUUAAGCGGGGUCUGAAAUCCCUCGGCUCAACCGAGGAACUGGGCUUCGAACUGGCAGACUAGAGUGAAGUAGGGGUAAGCGGAACUUGCGGUGGAGCGGUGAAAUGCUUUGAUAUCGCAAGGAACACCGGCGGCGAAGGCGGCUUACUGGGCUUCAACUGACGCUUAAGCGCGAAAGCUAGGGUAGCGAACGGGAUUAGAUACCCGCGUAGUCCCUGAGCGGG
This 282-nucleotide ribosomal RNA is filed under the name uncultured prokaryote. RNAcentral's name for it is "partial 16S ribosomal RNA". It matches the Rfam family "Bacterial small subunit ribosomal RNA", at positions 524 to 803 of the family's 1533-position model. The record is from RNAcentral.